Long non-coding RNA from Xiphias gladius (swordfish), 1331 nucleotides. RefSeq lists it as uncharacterized. The record is from RefSeq and is a predicted model, not a curated record. The transcript is spliced from 3 exons. NCBI's taxonomy places the organism in Eukaryota, Metazoa, Chordata, Actinopteri, Istiophoriformes, Xiphiidae.
GACCCUUCCAUCCUGCCGCGUCUCCGUACGGCGCCGCAAAGGGCCCAACUUUUCGACGCGGUCUGUGGUCGUGUUCCCAGCGACUUGUAGAGAAGGGGGCAUCUGUCAAGUUCCGCGGGGUCAAACGCGAGUUUCGGGUCGAGAGAAGCGUCGGCAGCCGCGACACUCGGACGGACGCAACGCCGACACGCGCUCCCGAUAGUGGCGGACGGCACCGCGGUUCUGGCCGCUGCGACGCACUGCAACCAUGUAAACAACUGUUGGCUUGAAGAAAGGAAACUGCAACGUUAGCCACGUGAAUGAAUAUGUACAGAGAAUUAAACUGUUUUGAUUUGUUUUUUAAAUUGCGUUUUAUCCACGUAUGAGGAUUUAAUAACGUCUUUCUCCUUAUGAGUAGUUUCAUGCCUGCGUGUGACCUUACUCGCAGGUCGGAGAGUUGAACAGGACGGCGAGUUAAACUUUCAGGGUUUCGUUUUGUUUUUGUUUUUUUUUUUUAGUGAAAAACGUUCAACUCAAACUCAGUUUCGAUUUGAGCUGAAACAGUUAUUCGAUCGGUCGGAAGUGUAAUCGGCAGCUAAUUUUGACAGUUGAUUAAUCGAUAAAGCGGUGAAAACAUUCCGCAAUCUCUCUCCUCCCCGCCGCUGCUUCUCUUCGUCACAAAUCAUAGUAAACUGAAGACCUUUGGGCUCUGAACUUUCUUUAUUUUUAUUUUUUAGACAAAACGGGAUUUGAAGACGUCACCUUGGGCCAAUUUUAAUACACGAUUCUUGUCACAUCUGUGAAGUCUGCUCAAACUAAGGGUCCAGCGCGGGAGAGACCGGCCACUAGAUGGCGCCCAACAGCAGGGAGGCAGAAGUUGAGGUCACCGGUCCGACUGAGCGAAACCCGUUUGUCAGUCGUUCGCUGUAAUAAACUUUAAAAUAAUUGCCGAGAGGUUAUUGUGAGCUCAUGUUUAAAGUCUGGUCCUAGUGAUUAGAGACGGGAUCACUUUGCACCGCUACAACAUGACGUACGAUUUUACAACUACUGUCACACAUCUGAUGCAUUACAUGCGUGUUUUUUUUUUCUCUUGUUGUAAGACAUACUGAGCAACACCCACAUGAACGUGUGAAGAUCAUGCAGGUGCCACAGAUGAUGCGAAUUGACGUCCGAUGACGUGUUUGAACUUUGUAUGAUCAAAUCUUGUCUUGACUGAUGUUUCAUUGAGUGUAAGCUUCAGUGAAAACAGUAAAUUUACUCAUAAUUAUGAGAUUUUUUACUUUUUAAAGACUCGACCAAACGUUGUCAAAAAUUCUCACUGGAAUUUUGACCUCAGAUUAAAAGUCUUUGUU